CAGAGUGACUGCAGAUCUCUCCAGUCUCGCCUCCUGUCAUCUCCUUUGGGAAGAUCUUAAGGCACACAAGACAGUUUGUGGAAACCAUGAAGGCCUUCUGCAGCCUCUUCCUGCUUUCCCUCCUUCUACUCUUCAUUUCUCCAGCAUCCUUUCAAAAAAUAGAAAACGGUUGGCAGUGUU
This is a long non-coding RNA of Podarcis muralis (Common wall lizard), 180 nucleotides long. RefSeq lists it as uncharacterized. Lineage: Eukaryota; Metazoa; Chordata; Lepidosauria; Squamata; Lacertidae. The record is from RefSeq and is a predicted model, not a curated record.